UUUAAAGAUGCUCCUGGCAUCACUGAUGGAUGAGCCUGCGGCGCAUUAGCUAGUUGGUGGGGUAAAGGCCUACCAAGGCGACGAUGCGUAGCCGACCUGAGAGGGUGAACGGCCACACUGGGACUGAGACACGGCCCAGACUCCUACGGGAGGCAGCAGUAGGGAAUCUUCGGCAAUGGGCGAAAGCCUGACCGAGCAACGCCGCGUGAAUGAAGAAGGCCUUCGGGUUGUAAAAUUCUGUUAUAAGGGAAGAAAGGUGAUAGGAGGAAAUGACUAUCAAUUGACGGUACCUUAUGAGAAAGCCACGGCUAACUACGUGCCAGCAGCCGCGGUAAUACGUAGGUGGCAAGCGUUAUCCGGAAUUAUUGGGCGUAAAGAGCGCGCAGGUGGUUAAUUAAGUCUGACGUGAAAGCCCACGGCUUAACCGUGGAGGGUCAUUGGAAACUGGUUGACUUGAGUGCAGAAGAGGGAAGUGGAAUUCCAUGUGUAGCGGUGAAAUGCGUAGAGAUAUGGAGGAACACCAGUGGCGAAGGCGGCUUCCUGGUCUGCAACUGACACUGAGGCGCGAAAGCGUGGGGAGCAAACAGGAUUAGAUACCCUAGUAGUCCACGCCGUA
This 616-nucleotide ribosomal RNA is filed under the name uncultured bacterium. Its description in RNAcentral is "bacterial SSU rRNA". It matches the Rfam family "Bacterial small subunit ribosomal RNA", at positions 200 to 804 of the family's 1533-position model. The record is from RNAcentral.